This 141-nucleotide ribosomal RNA is filed under the name uncultured Pseudomonas sp. RNAcentral describes it as "partial 16S ribosomal RNA". It matches the Rfam family "Bacterial small subunit ribosomal RNA", at positions 395 to 528 of the family's 1533-position model. The record is from RNAcentral. Lineage: Bacteria; Pseudomonadati; Pseudomonadota; Gammaproteobacteria; Pseudomonadales; Pseudomonadaceae.
UGCCGCGUGUGUGAAGAAGGUCUUAGGAUUGUAAAGCACUUUAAGUUGGGAGGAAGGGUUAUAGCCUAAUACGCUGUAACUUUGACGUUACCGACAGAAUAAGCACCGGCUAACUCUGUGCCAGCAGCCGCGGUAAUACGA